CAAGAAGUGUUUUCCGCUUCGGACCAUGCCUAAGUCCCUUGGAAAAGGGCAUCAUAGAGGGUGAUAAUCCCGUACAUGGCAUGGAGCGCCCGAGGCUUUGUGAUACGCUUUCUAAGAGUCGAGUUGUUUGGGAAUGCAGCUCAAAAUGGGUGGUAAAUGCCAUCUAAGGCUAAAUAUUGGGGAGAGACCGAUAGCGAACAAGUACAGUGAUGGAAAGAUGAAAAGAACUUUGAAAAGAGAGUUAAACAGUACGUGAAAUUGCCAAAAGGGAAGGGUAGGAGGUCAGAGAUGCGUCUUGGGAUUCAGCCUUGCUUUUGCUUGGUGUUUUUCCCAAGUUGCAGGCCAACGUCGGUUUUGGGCACUGGAGAAGGGUGGAAGGAACGUGGCACCUCUCGGGGUGUGUUAUAGCCUUCUACUGGAUACAGCGACCGAGACCGAGGACAGCAGCGUACUCGCAAGAGCGGGCCUUCGGGCACCUUUACGCUUAGGGCGUUGGCAUAAUGGCCCUCUACCACCCGUCU
RNAcentral lists this ribosomal RNA (521 nucleotides) under Anthracocystis heteropogonicola. RNAcentral's name for it is "partial large subunit ribosomal RNA". It matches the Rfam family "Eukaryotic large subunit ribosomal RNA", at positions 151 to 654 of the family's 3401-position model. Lineage: Eukaryota; Fungi; Basidiomycota; Ustilaginomycetes; Ustilaginales; Ustilaginaceae. The record is from RNAcentral.